GCCGCCUGAGCCAGCAGCAGCAACCCGUUCGGGUCCCUUUCCACCGUGUGGAGGCUGUAUUCUUUUGCUCUUCUCAAUAAAUCUUCCUGCUGCUCAGUCUUUGGGUCUGCACUACCUUUAUGAGUUGUAAUACUCACCGUGAAGGUCUGUAGCUUCACUCCUGAAGUCAGUGAGACCACGAACCCACCGAGAGGAACGAACAACUCCGGACUGCCACCUUUAAGAGCUGUAACACUCACUGCGAAGGUCUGCGGCUUCACUCCUAAAGUCAAGCAAGACCACAAACCCACUGGAAGGAAGAAAGUCCAGACGCAUCUGAACACUGGAAGGAACAAACGUUGGACACACCAUCUUUAAGAACUGUAACACUCACCGUGAGGGUCUGCAGCUUCAGUCUUGAAGUCAGUGAGACCAAGAACUCACUGGAAGGAACCAAUUCUCGACACAAUGGAAUAUGACAAAUCUGAAGCUAUACCUGAGGAAUUAGCUGGAGCUGGACAACAGUAACGAGGUGCAAGUCCCCAUGGAAGAUUCAAGCCUGUCCAGUGGUGUUGAUGUGGACAAAGGCUUUGCCAUUGCCUUUGUUGUUCUUCUGUUUCUGUUCCUAAUAGUGAUGAUUUUUCGGUGUGCCAAGCUGGUGAAGAAUCCCUACAAGGCCAGCUCCACAACCACAGAACCAUCUCUGAGCUGAAGUAUAAUAAAACCUGGUAGACUCCCC
Molecule: long non-coding RNA, 718 nt
Filed under: Homo sapiens (human)
Lineage: Eukaryota; Metazoa; Chordata; Mammalia; Primates; Hominidae
Description: HSALNT0015031
Source: RNAcentral